This 542-nucleotide ribosomal RNA is filed under the name Pichia terricola. RNAcentral's name for it is "partial small subunit ribosomal RNA". It matches the Rfam family "Bacterial small subunit ribosomal RNA", at positions 359 to 950 of the family's 1533-position model. The record is from RNAcentral. Lineage: Eukaryota; Fungi; Ascomycota; Pichiomycetes; Pichiales; Pichiaceae.
GAAUAUUAGUCAAUGAUCGAAAGAUUGAUCUAGUUACUUAGAAAGAUGAAGAUUAUAAUAAAUAUGUAAAAAAAAAUAAUAAUGAAGAAUAUAAAAUCAAUGUAUAUAUCAUUGAAUAAUGAUGAAGAUAUAUAUAGUAGUCUUAACCAAAAUUAGUGCCAGCAGUUGCGGCUAAACUAAGGAGGCUAACGUUAAUCAUUAAUGGCUUAAAGGAUCCGUAGAAUGAGUUUUAUUUUUAAAACUUAGAGUUAAAUUUAAUAAUUAUGAAAAAUUAAUAAGAGAGAUGAAAUGUGUGGAAAAUAAUUAGACAAAUAAACGUGAAGAUAAAAUUAGGAAUUUAACUGACAUUGAGGGAUGAAGGCAUGAGUAGCAAAACGGAUUAGAUACCCGAGUAGUUCAUGCAGUAAACGAUGAAUACCAAAAAAUCUGAGAAGAUUUAAGAAGCGAAAGCAUAAGUAUUCCGCCAGGAGAGUAUAGCUUCAAAGUUGAAAUCCAAGACAAUAGACGGUUACAGUUGUAGGCAGUGGAUUGUGUUAUUUAAU